This 245-nucleotide ribosomal RNA is filed under the name uncultured bacterium. RNAcentral's name for it is "partial small subunit ribosomal RNA". It matches the Rfam family "Bacterial small subunit ribosomal RNA", at positions 26 to 285 of the family's 1533-position model. The record is from RNAcentral.
AGAAUCAACGCUGGCGGCGUGCCUAACACAUGCAAGUCGAACGAGAAAGGGUAGCAAUACCUGAGUACAGUGGCGCACGGGUGAGUAACACGUGACUAACCUACCCUGGAGUGGGGGAUAACUGGGAGAAAUCCUAGCUAAUACCGCAUAAUACCUACGGGUCAAAGGAGCAAUUUGCUUCAGGAGGGGGUCGCGGCCGAUUAGUUAGUUGGCAGGGUAAUGGCCUACCAAGACGAUGAUCGGUA